RNAcentral lists this ribosomal RNA (637 nucleotides) under uncultured bacterium. Its description in RNAcentral is "bacterial SSU rRNA". It matches the Rfam family "Bacterial small subunit ribosomal RNA", at positions 93 to 749 of the family's 1533-position model. The record is from RNAcentral.
UAGCGGCGGACGGGUGAGUAACACGUGAGUAACCUGCCUUAGACAUUGGGAUAGCCUCGGGAAACCGGGAUUAAUACCAAAUAAAAUCAUAAUGACACAUGUCAUAACGAUCAAAACUCCGGUGGUCUAAGAUGGACUCGCGUCCCAUUAGCUAGUUGGUAGAGUAAAAGCCUACCAAGGCGACGAUGGGUAGCCGGCCUGAGAGGGUGAACGGCCACAUUGGAACUGAGAAACGGUCCAAACUCCUACGGGAGGCAGCAGUGGGGAAUAUCGCACAAUGGAGGGAACUCUGAUGCAGCGACGCCGCGUGAACGAAGAAGGCUUUCGAGUCGUAAAGUUCUUUUAUAUGGGAAGAUAAUGACGGUACCAUAAGAAAAAGCCCCGGCUAACUACGUGCCAGCAGCCGCGGUAAUACGUAGGGGGCCAGCGUUGUCCGGAAUCACUGGGCGUAAAGGGUUCGCAGGCGGAAAUGCAAGUCAGAUGUAAAAGGCAGUAGCUUAACUACUGUAAGCAUUUGAAACUGCAUAUCUUGAGAAGAGUAGAGGUAAGUGGAAUUUUUAGUGUAGCGGUGAAAUGCGUAGAUAUUAAAAAGAAUACCGGUGGCGAAGGCGACUUACUGGGCUCAUUCUGACGCUGA